GAGGGUAUAGUUCAGUGGUAGAGUCCGUGCUUAUUAGCAUGCACGAGGUCCUGGGUUCAAUCCCCAGUACCUCCC
This 75-nucleotide transfer RNA is filed under the name Camelus bactrianus (Bactrian camel). It matches the Rfam family "tRNA". Rfam says of the family: Transfer RNA (tRNA) molecules are approximately 80 nucleotides in length. The record is from Rfam by way of RNAcentral. RNAcentral also lists the same sequence under 2 other names. Lineage: Eukaryota; Metazoa; Chordata; Mammalia; Artiodactyla; Camelidae.